UACGGAGGAUGCAAGCGUUAUCCGGAAUGAUUGGGCGUAAAGCGUCCGCAGGUGGCUAUGUAAGUCUGCUGUUAAAGAGUCUGGCUCAACCAGAUAAAGGCAGUGGAAACUACAUGGCUAGAGUGCGUUCGGGGCAGAGGGAAUUCCUGGUGUAGCGGUGAAAUGCGUAGAGAUCAGGAAGAACACCGGUGGCGAAGGCGCUCUGCUAGGCCGCAACUGACACUGAGGGACGAAAGCUAGGGGAGCGAAUGGG
RNAcentral lists this ribosomal RNA (253 nucleotides) under uncultured bacterium. RNAcentral describes it as "partial 16S ribosomal RNA". It matches the Rfam family "Bacterial small subunit ribosomal RNA", at positions 524 to 776 of the family's 1533-position model. The record is from RNAcentral.